AUGAACGCUGGCGGCGUGCCUCAUACAUGCAAGUCGAGCGAACAGAUGAGGAGCUUGCUCCUCUGACGUUAGCGGCGGACGGGUGAGUAACACGUGGAUAACCUACCUAUAAGACUGGGAUAACUUCGGGAAACCGGAGCUAAUACCGGAUAAUAUAUUGAACCGCAUGGUUCAAUAGUGAAAGACGGUUUUGCUGUCACUUAUAGAUGGAUCCGCGCCGCAUUAGCUAGUUGGUAAGGUAACGGCUUACCAAGGCAACGAUGUGUAGCCGACCUGAGAGGGUGAUCGGCCACACUGGAACUGAGACACGGUCCAGACUCCUACGGGAGGCAGCAGUAGGGAAUCUUCCGCAAUGGGCGAAAGCCUGACGGAGCAACGCCGCGUGAGUGAUGAAGGUCUUCGGAUCGUAAAACUCUGUUAUUAGGGAAGAACAAAUGUGUAAGUAACUAUGCACGUCUUGACGGUACCUAAUCAGAAAGCCACGGCUAACUACGUG
This 496-nucleotide ribosomal RNA is filed under the name uncultured bacterium. Its description in RNAcentral is "partial 16S ribosomal RNA". It matches the Rfam family "Bacterial small subunit ribosomal RNA", at positions 29 to 507 of the family's 1533-position model. The record is from RNAcentral.